This 252-nucleotide ribosomal RNA is filed under the name uncultured bacterium. RNAcentral describes it as "partial 16S ribosomal RNA". It matches the Rfam family "Bacterial small subunit ribosomal RNA", at positions 524 to 776 of the family's 1533-position model. The record is from RNAcentral.
UACGGAGGGUGCAAGCGUUAUCCGGAUUCACUGGGUUUAAAGGGUGCGUAGGUGGGCUAGUAAGUCCGUGGUGAAAUCUCCAAGCUUAACUUGGAAACUGCCGUGGGUACUAUUAGUCUUGAAUAUUGUGGAGGUAAGCGGAAUAUGUCAUGUAGCGGUGAAAUGCUAGAUAUGACAUAGAACACCGAUAGCGAAGGCAGCUUGCUACACAAUCAUUGACACUGAGGCACGAAAGCGUGGGGAUCAAACAGG